Molecule: long non-coding RNA, 486 nt
Filed under: Brachypodium distachyon (stiff brome)
Lineage: Eukaryota; Viridiplantae; Streptophyta; Magnoliopsida; Poales; Poaceae
Description: long non-coding RNA (BDIS_LNC003323)
Source: RNAcentral
AAAGGCUUUAAAAGUUUUUAUUUCAAUUUAAACCUUAGGGUUUACACUCAUUUAAGCUUUGGAUCUUCAAACCAAUAGGGUUUAUUUAUAAAAGGGGUUUAUUGCAUAAAUAAGCUAUCCCAUAAUUUUUGGAUAAUUAUUUGGAGUUGAAAAAGUAUUUUAUUUAAAUAGUUAUAUAGCCCUAAAGGCAUUUAUAGGGCAAAUGUAUUUUUAUGUAUUUUAUUUUGAGGGGAAAUUACUCCCAAAAGUUGAAUCAUGGUAAAACAUGAUUUUACAAAUUACCUGGAAUUUAUUUGGACCAAUUUGGAGUUCAAAAUCAAAAGAUAUCAAAGAAUUGAGAAAAAACAGAAAAAGAAAAGGGCUAAAAGAAAAAAAAAGGGAAAACCGGACCGGCCCGGCCAAAUUGGGCUGAACCGGUCCCGUUCCGCGCGCCCGAGCUGAGCCGACCGGCCCGGUCCACGCGCACGCCCGCACCGAGCUGCUGAC